AUACUUACCUGGACAGGGUCAAUGGCUGAUCAGUAAGGGUCAUGGCCUAGGUCUACGGCCUCCAUUGCACUUAGGAGGAGUGUUGGCCUAAGGUCUCCCCAAGUUGGGAGAGCCUAUGUCGUAAUUUGUGAUAGUGGGGGCCUGCGUUCGCGCGGCCCCUUU
This is a small nuclear RNA of Mercurialis annua (annual mercury), 162 nucleotides long. RefSeq annotates it as U1 spliceosomal RNA. The record is from RefSeq and is a predicted model, not a curated record. Lineage: Eukaryota; Viridiplantae; Streptophyta; Magnoliopsida; Malpighiales; Euphorbiaceae. The transcript has a single exon.